CCUACGUGUGGCAGCCGUGGGGAAUAUUGGACAAUGGGGGGAACCCUGAUCCAGCGACGCCGCGUGAGUGAAGAAGUAUUUCGGUAUGUAAAGCUCUAUCAGCAGGGAAGAAAGGCAUGACGGUCCCUGACUAAGAAGCCCCGUCUAACUACGUGCCCGCAGCCGCGGUAAUACGUAGGGGGCAAGCGUUAUCCGUAUUUACUGGGUGUAAAGGGAGCGUAGACGGUUACGCAAGUCUGGAGUGAAAGGCGGGGGCCCAACCCCCGGACUGCUUUGGAAACUGUAUAACUGGAGGGCAGGAGAGGUAAGUGGAAUUCCUAGUGUAGCGAUGAAAUGCGUAGAUAUUAGGAGGAACACCAGUGGCGAAGGCGGCUUACUGGACUGUAACUGACGUUGAGGCUCGAAAGCGUGGGGAGCAAACAGGAGUAGAUACCCGGGUAGUC
This 443-nucleotide ribosomal RNA is filed under the name uncultured bacterium. RNAcentral describes it as "partial 16S ribosomal RNA". It matches the Rfam family "Bacterial small subunit ribosomal RNA", at positions 338 to 795 of the family's 1533-position model. The record is from RNAcentral.